RNAcentral lists this ribosomal RNA (427 nucleotides) under uncultured bacterium. Its description in RNAcentral is "partial 16S ribosomal RNA". It matches the Rfam family "Bacterial small subunit ribosomal RNA", at positions 355 to 774 of the family's 1533-position model. The record is from RNAcentral.
UGGGGAAUAUUGCACAAUGGGCGCAAGCCUGAUGCAGCCAUGCCGCGUGUAUGAAGAAGGCCUUCGGGUUGUAAAGUACUUUCAGCGAGGAGGAAGGCGGUAAGGUUAAUAACCUUAUCGAUUGACGUUACUCGCAGAAGAAGCACCGGCUAACUCCGUGCCAGCAGCCGCGGUAAUAUGGAGGGUGCAAGCGUUAAUCGGAAUUACUGGGCGUAAAGCGCACGCAGGCGGUCUGUCAAGUCGGAUGUGAAAUCCCCGGGCUCAACCUGGGAACUGCAUUCGAAACUGGCAGGCUAGAGUCUUGUAGAGGGGGGUAGAAUUCCAGGUGUAGCGGUGAAAUGCGUAGAGAUCUGGAGGAAUACCGGUGGCGAAGGCGGCCCCCUGGACAAAGACUGACGCUCAGGUGCGAAAGCGUGGGGAGCAAACA